Brassica oleracea var. oleracea is the source of this 1248-nucleotide RNA transcript. RefSeq lists it as uncharacterized. NCBI's taxonomy places the organism in Eukaryota, Viridiplantae, Streptophyta, Magnoliopsida, Brassicales, Brassicaceae. The transcript has 6 exons. The record is from RefSeq and is a predicted model, not a curated record.
CUUGUCCCUUUUGUAUUAGAUAUGCGUUAAAAACAAAAGGGGGAAAAAUCCCAUCUAUUUUUCGUAGGUUUCUUUCAUCUUCUUCCUUCUUCUCUUUGCAUGUUACGAAAUCGAUCGAUCACUCCAGCAUCUCCUCCAAAUCCGUCAAUGAAAUCACCAUGGAGAUUUGGUGCCAUCAAGACUUUGUGCCAUCAACUUGGUUCCAUCGAUUUGGAUCCAAAACUCGUUGUAUUCGAAAGACCCGGGAGAGAGGAAGAACAUGGAACCAAAUCAAUGUAAUAAGAGAUAAAGCUAUGGUGGGUUUGAGGUUAGUAUUUUUUUUCCCGUUCGGGGUGUAGCAGUCCCUGGGGUUGAGGGGGAACCUGUAAGCCUUCCUGAACCAGUGACUGAAGCCAUAGCUGCUGCGUUUGGGCAAUGGUUGUUACACAAGAAGAAUGUUGGAUCCCGGAAGUUGAGAGUAUCCGUUGGCCAUGACUCUCGCAUCUCUGCACCAACCUUGCUGGAAGCGGUUUCUCGAGGUCUUGGCCUUUCUGGAUUAGACGUUGUUCAGUUCGGAUUAGCAUCAACACCAGCAAUGUUUAAUAGUACAUUGACUGAAGAUGAAUCAUUCUUGUGCCCUGCUGAUGGGGCUAUCAUGAUAACAGGUAUUCUUAUUGAUCUCGGUUUCUAUAAUAAGUAGUUAUUUUUCUUAGUAGUUGUCAUCACUUAGUGAUAUUUGCUACCACGCUUUUAUUUUGAGCAGCAAGCCAUCUUCCUUACAACAGGAACGGUUUCAAGUUCUUCCUUAUAUUUAAACUUUUUUUUUCUGAAAGGUCCGCUGCUGUGGAUUCAUCUGGCCGUGAGUUCAACCGUAAUCGUCUUAUUGCGUUGCUUUCAGCUAUUGUUCUAGAGCAAAUCCGUGUUUCGGGCUUUGGUGGAUGGUUUCUUCUCAGACUUUCUCUCCACGACCCUUUUCUUCCUCUUAACAUUGAGGCGCAGAGUGAGAAUGAUGCUGUGAAGUUAGGCCUUGUGGUUGCUAAUGCAGUGAAGGAGUUCAAUGCUUUGGACACCUCUGCUUUGUCCAGUCUCACUCGCUCUUAAAUUGGUUUUAGGUGGAUCUGUGAUCCUAAAUUAAUGUUCUAAAAUUGCUUUGGACACAUUUUUUUGUGUGGAAAUCAAUGUUCUAAAAUUAGUAUAGACAACAUCUAAGAAGUAAAUUAAUCACAAUACAAUAUGAUUAAAUAUAAUUAGUCUAAGUUGAUUUAAAUA